UUUACUGAGAGUUUGAUCCUGGCUCAGGACGAACGCUGGCGGCGUGCCUAAUACAUGCAAGUCGUGCGGACUUUUUAAAAGCUUGCUUCUAAAAAGUUAGCGGCGGACGGGUGAGUAACACGUGGGCAACCUGCCUGUAAGAUCGGGAUAACGCCGGGAAACCGGGGCUAAUACCGGAUAGUUUUUUCCU
RNAcentral lists this ribosomal RNA (190 nucleotides) under Heyndrickxia coagulans. RNAcentral describes it as "partial 16S ribosomal RNA". It matches the Rfam family "Bacterial small subunit ribosomal RNA", at positions 1 to 185 of the family's 1533-position model. The record is from RNAcentral. Lineage: Bacteria; Bacillati; Bacillota; Bacilli; Caryophanales; Bacillaceae.